UGCCAGCAGCCGCGGUAAUACGUAGGGUGCAAACGUUGUUCGGAAUCACUGGGCAUAAAGCGCACGUAGGCGGCCAGAUCAGUUCGGUGUGAAAGCCCCCGGCUCAACCGGGGAACUGCAUCGAAUACUGUCUGGCUUGAGGAUGGUUGGGGUGAGUGGAACUCCUGGUGGAGCGGUGAAAUGCGUAGAUAUCAGGAGGAACACCAGUGGCGAAGGCGGCUUUCUGGACCAAUACUGACGCUGAGCUGCGAAAGCGUGGGGAGCGAACAGGAUUAGAUA
Molecule: ribosomal RNA, 279 nt
Filed under: uncultured bacterium
Lineage: Bacteria
Description: partial 16S ribosomal RNA
Rfam family: Bacterial small subunit ribosomal RNA
Source: RNAcentral